UUAAUAUGAUGAGUGAAUCCUCUUGGUCCGUGUUUAUGAUCUGAAUGAUUCUGCUAAAGAGGUCUGAUAAU
Small nucleolar RNA from Penaeus vannamei (Pacific white shrimp), 71 nucleotides. RefSeq annotates it as small nucleolar RNA SNORD18. The record is from RefSeq and is a predicted model, not a curated record. Lineage: Eukaryota; Metazoa; Arthropoda; Malacostraca; Decapoda; Penaeidae.